This is a non-coding RNA of Lepisosteus oculatus (spotted gar), 1066 nucleotides long. Lineage: Eukaryota; Metazoa; Chordata; Actinopteri; Semionotiformes; Lepisosteidae. The record is from RefSeq and is a predicted model, not a curated record.
UUGGUGCGCAAGCGCAGAGCCGAGGCUGACGGCUGGUCGGUGAUGAACUGGGGAAGAGAUAUUGCUCAUAGCACAAGCUAUACAUAGUAGAGAGCGCUACGUUUCAAGCCACAAUUAAUGGACUUCAGGAAACAAUACAGCACCUGAGUUACCUGCAAGUGGAACUUAAAGAGUCAGAGCUGAAAGACAUAAUUGAGAGGAAAGAAGGAGACAUUCAAGAACUGAAAAAGAAAUUACGGGAUCAAGAACGAGAAAAACAGAGUGAAAUUAUUAAACUUCAAAUGGAGGUAAAAUGCUUUUUACACAGUCUGUUGGUAUUUGUUUGAAUAUUUAUAUGUGCAUUGUUUAGGCUUUUUAUGCUCAAGACAGUUGUGCAUCUGAAGCCUUUUAUGUUUUAUCAUGCUUGAGUCCCACUAUGAUAAGGAUUACUCCAUACGAAGAAGGACAUAGUCACCAGUCCGGCCAAUAGUCUGUGUAAAACUACUUUUACUUUAUAAUUCAGUUCAGCGCAAAGAUGGCAAGAAUACAGAGCACUUCAGUGAAAACACAGCAGCAAGAUCCUUCCAAUCUACUGCAAAACGUUUUUAAAAGGGUAAGUUGUGAGCCUCCUACUGUACACUAUUGUAAAUCUAUACCUUUUGCUUUUCAAGCAUUAUCAUUAAGUAAUGCUGCCUAGCUUAAUUUGUUUCUCCCUAGACAGGGUGUCUAGGUGCAGAUGUGUCUGGUCCUGCCUUGCACUUUAUGUGCUCCAGGUUGCAAUCCAGUAAAUCUGCUUUUUUAUUAUGGCUGCAUGGGUGGAUCUAUGAUGUAAAUACAGAGCAGCAGAGAAGAGAUGUCUCCCAUUAAAAUGAUAUGGAUUUUGUCACAGUCUUGUCACACUUUUGUCACAGGAUGAUGUUUAAUUAAAAAUGAUGCCUUAGGUGUCUGACAUCAUUACUUAUUUCAAUCACUAUGAAAAAUUAUGGAUUGCGUAGAACGUCGCAUAAUAACGGCAUAUAACGUCAGAAGAGGCAUAUUUUUAUCAAUUUCAUAGAAGCUGCAGUUCAUAGAAGAGGAGAAAAACAGA